CACGAAAGUUCUUCUGUUUUAAAAAAACACUCAAGGAAAUUGAAUUUGUAGUGAAGAUGCUACAUUAAAAUGGUUAGACGAGAAGUCCCCAUGGAGCUUUACUGAAAGCCCAAAAGAAACUUCUUUAUGGGCUAGACAGUUUUGUUGGGGUGAUAGUUUUUUAAAAAGUAACGAAAACGAACUAUGACGCAGGUUUCACUCUGAAAACUUGAAGAGACAUUUGGGGUGUGUUUUAUGAUCUAUUGUUUUGAAUGAAAAAGAUAAUGAAAGCAGAUAAAAGUUACCCUGGGGAA
RNAcentral lists this ribosomal RNA (293 nucleotides) under Caryophyllia unicristata. Its description in RNAcentral is "partial 16S ribosomal RNA". It matches the Rfam family "Bacterial large subunit ribosomal RNA", at positions 2003 to 2475 of the family's 2925-position model. RNAcentral also lists the same sequence under 1 other name. Lineage: Eukaryota; Metazoa; Cnidaria; Anthozoa; Scleractinia; Caryophylliidae. The record is from RNAcentral.